AAUUCUCAACUAUACAAGUUUUGAAAACCUGUAUAGCUUGGACUUGGGAUUUGCGGGCUCAUUUUGAGUCGGCUAUCCUUAAAUGCAUUAGCAGAGCUUUUGCCGCUAACCAUUGGUGUGAUAAUUAUCUACGCCAUUGUGAUGCGACAUGAAUAGGGCUUAGCUUCUAAUCGUCCUCACGGACUAUACUUGACA
This 195-nucleotide unclassified non-coding RNA is filed under the name uncultured fungus. Its description in RNAcentral is "sequence contains ITS2". Lineage: Eukaryota; Fungi. The record is from RNAcentral.